UACCUUUACACAGGUGUGCAUACUCUUGCCCUUGGUAGUUUCCGAACAGUUUAUAUCACACAUGUUUUAAUAGAGACGUAAGUUUUUAAUUGUAAUCAUCACACUUUUAGAUUUAGUGCACAUUACUGUACUGUGACCCACGAUCACAUACACAUUUCAGGUGACGAUUGGCUACACGUAUGUUUAUCGAUGUUGUAUGUAAUAUGAUGUAACGUUACAUAGUCCAGCGUGCAGUUCCUGUUCCACUCAACGUGACGCAGUUAUUUUUAAGUGGCAGCACAACACAGAAGGAAGUGUUUUGGUACCUGGCAAAGGUGAGGUUGGUACGUUAAACAAUUAGCCUUUCGCUUUAAUUGCAUUUUUGCCUUGGCCUUUGUACGUUGUUUUUUUCUCACUUUGGGGUAUCAGUCUAGUUGUUGUUGAUCAAGGCAAGACAAGUAAAGGUAAAGUACCGAUACAGCUGCUCACAUGGCAACACACUCUUACUUCUUCUGAAAGUCCCUUGUCGUCAUCUACGCUCAUUAUAGAUCAUUACAUCAUAUGGGGGGAUUCCCCAGCCGUGGGUAUAUCGAUUACUUAAAUGUUUUCCUUGCCUCCUUGGAGACAUGGGAAAGACCAAAACUGUGUCUAGCAGUCAUUACAACUAGUCCGGCCCUGUAUAAUAUUGCAAGUUCCGAAGAGAAACAUAUUUGUACCGAUUAAGGACCAUGAAUAUUACAAGGUGAAGUAGGUGUACAGAAGUUGGUUCUUCGUAAUCGCAAGGACAUUGCCGGUGUUCUGGUAACACCUGUCCGGCGUCAAAACAAUGACAUCACCAGUUGAGGUACCGGUUACUGUUUACUGACAUACACAUAAAACAUCUUUGUAUUUCGCCAGUCCACGUGACUGUGGCAGCAACGGUUAACAAACACGCGCCUAUUUAAUCGACAGCAGUCUAAAGCGUCCCUACACAUUGGCGAGAGGAGGUCUUCAUUGCGGUUAUCUGGCUAACGUUUCUUAGGAGCUAUGGCAAGUGACGGGGCCCCAGCAGGAUGGAGGGAUGUUUUUGAGACAGAGAUCCGUGAAGUGUUCAAAGCUAAAGACGACUGGACCUUGACCCAGGUUGAUAAAUUACCCAAGAUCAAUCAAGCCAAGGACCGUGGGUGGAAACAAUUCAAAGACAAAGCUAAGGUUCGGUUUGAGUGCGGAAGGUGUGACCACGUCUGGACGUCCGUCAGGGGUCUCGUCAGCUUCCACUACCGCCUCAAGGAGACAGGUGAAAUAAAAAUGUGGCUUCUUAGACAGAAGUGCCAUUCUUGCAAGGAUGAU
Long non-coding RNA from Branchiostoma floridae (Florida lancelet), 1308 nucleotides. RefSeq lists it as uncharacterized. Lineage: Eukaryota; Metazoa; Chordata; Leptocardii; Amphioxiformes; Branchiostomatidae. The record is from RefSeq and is a predicted model, not a curated record. The transcript is spliced from 3 exons.